RNAcentral lists this long non-coding RNA (215 nucleotides) under Nicotiana benthamiana. RNAcentral describes it as "long non-coding RNA (NBEN_LNC037578)". The record is from RNAcentral. Lineage: Eukaryota; Viridiplantae; Streptophyta; Magnoliopsida; Solanales; Solanaceae.
GUGUGUAAAUAGGCUACUAUUGUAAUUAGGCUAUGUCAUGUAAAUAGGCUAUUAUUGUAAGGGGUCAUUUUGAUAUAGGGGUAGGGGUCAUUUUGUCUGGGGCAGCGGGUCAUUUUUGAUUGAAAGACUUUGAGUCUUCUUCGAGACUCCUCCAUGCUCUCCCUUCUCUCUACUUUCUCUCUCUAAAUUUCUUUCGAUAUUCUGUAUGUUUUCAG